CAGGUGAGCUCCCUUCCUUGGUUAGGAACCUGCCUUCAGGUUUUUCUGCCGACAGGCAAGGUCCUUUUUUCUGAUUAGGAACCUGCCCUCGGUUUUGCAAGUACAGGCAAGCUCCCUUCCUUGGCUUCUUGUAUCUUCUCGGCUCCCCACAGAAAAAAGUAAGCUAGUUGCAAAACUUGAAUUUGAAUUCGGUCUCUCUGUUAAAACAAGAUUUUUUUGAAAUGCUGCUUUUGAUAACAGAUUAUAUGAAUUUCUUUGCCUUGAAUUUGUAUUUGCUUUUGAAAUCCUUUGUUACGUUGGUUGAAUGAAUAAGUAAUGUGAAACAAUAAUCUAUGAUUCUAUCUGACCAGGUAUUUUUAAACUUUUCCUUGUGUGUUUUUCUUUUCUUUCUUUCUUUCUUUUUUUUUUUUUUUUUUUUUUUUUUUUACAAACUAAGUGUAAAUUACAGGGGAAACAUUGUCAAAUGAACAAUAUGGCACAAAAAAUUAACCCCUCAUUGUUAGACUUUUGCCAUCCUGACGCCCUUAUAGCUUGGUAACAGUCUGUUCCUAAAUCAGCUAACAUAGGUAAAGAGUAGUUGUGAAUUAGGAGUUCCUGUCAUGGUGCAGCAGAAAUGAAUUCGACUAGGAACCAUGAGGUUGUGGGUUCGAUCCCUGGCCUCAUUCAGUGGGUUAAGGAUCCAGCAUUGUGGUGAGCUGUGGUACAGGUCACAGAUACGGCUGGGAUCUGGCGUUGCUGUGGCUCUGGUGCAGGCCGGCAGAAACAGCUCUGAUUAGACCCCCUAGCCUGGGAAACUCCAUGUGCUGUGAGUGCAGCCCUAAAAAGAUAAAAGACCAAGAAAAAAAAAAAGUUAUGAAUUAAACAGUCAGGGCUAUGGGAAAUUCAAGACGGCCGCUUGGUUCUUCCCGGCUCCCUGGCAAACCCAAUAAUAUUAGACAAAGUGUUUUCCAUCUGGAGUAUACUUUCUACAGUCCAGUCCAAAUUUGGUUAAAAUGAGAGUAAUUUUAAAGAAAAAGAAUGUUUUGGAGUUCGCGUCGUGGCGCAGUGGUUAAUGAAUCCGACUGGGAACCAUGAGAUUGAGGGUUCGAUCCCUGGCCUCGCUCAGUGGGGUAAGGAUCUGGGUCACAGUGGUAGUUCGCAGACAUAGCUCAGAUCUGGCGUGGCUGUGGCGUAGGCUGGUGGUUACAGUUCUGAUUCGACCCCUAGACUGGGAACCUCCAUAUGCUCAACUUAAAUUUUUGUUUAUAACUUUAUGAACACAUACUAUUUUUAUUAACUGCGUUCACAAAAUUGCUAUUUCUUGCCUUGCCAAAUUUGUAACUGAGUCUCUGAUGAAAUGAUAAUAUAGUCUCAUAUGAGGUCAGUGAUCUCUAGAUAUGGGAAAAUGCAACAAGAGGGAAUAUUUUCCUGGACCCUAACAGACUAGGAAGACAGGUGGUCCAGAGACGAUUGGCUACUGUUAAUAAGGCCUAGUCCAGCAAUAGCACAUUGAGUUGCCUGUCAGCUAAAUCUUUGCCAGAUCUAGGAAUAUCCAUUCCUAGCACCGUGGGACAAAAUGGCCAUGAUAUGCCUCCCAAAACUAUGGUCGAAUUUAUGACCGUGGGGGAGCGCUGGGCACUGGAGUUUGGCCCUUGCCAUCAGCCUCUACAUGGAGUAAAACAUGAGCCACUGCAGCUUCCGACCCGCAACAGCCCCUGAGCAGAGCUCAGUGCGGAGACCAGGAGUGAGGCACUCGGUGCUAAGGGAAAACUGACCAAACAGGCCUUCAGAUAGUUAGAUUGCAGGUAAGGAUUUUUAUGGGCCCAAAUUCUUGCUUCUUCUCAUAUCUAGAAAAGCAGAAGUCAUUAACAGUGGCAUCUGCAUUGGCCAUUAGAGAGAAAAGGCAGGAUGGAGUAGCCGUGAGUCAGACACCCAAGCCAAGGUGAUACUAGGAAAUAUUAAGGGAGUGAUUUUCGACAAGACUUUGUAUUGCUAAGAACUUCAGGUUUAUGUGCCCAGUCAGACUUGAUGCCACCAGCUACCAAUAGCUCCUGUUAAUUAUGUGUCAAUAGUACAGCAAAUGUUAAAACCAACUUAGUUAAAACUACACACUUCCUUCAACAGUACCGGCGUCAACCUAUAUCACCAACCUCUGCUUAAUCUUAUUUUUUUCUUCCCAUCCUCCAUAGUAGGAACCUACCAUGUCCAGUCCAGCCCCCCAGCACUCGUCGCCCCUAGCCAGCAGGAAGUAGCUACGGAAGAGAGGACCGUCGCCCCAUCCCAUUUAAAAAAGGCUGGAAUGAUAGGUUCCCAGGAAGAUGGAGACAGGACUCUCCCCUCCGCCCCAAUGUGACUGUUCACCUUGGAGACCUGCUGUGGACGGCGGUACCGCCCAGCACAAGGUCGACACCCUUUCCCGGACUAUGGAGCCUAGAUUAACCACCUACAAGGAUUAACUGCCCUCCCUCUCAGCCGUCUCGGGACUCCAUCGUUGUUUGAGAAUCCAAAUUAUUUCUUUUAUUUGUCCCUGUAUUUGUGAUUUCUCUUUUUUUGUGCAGUCUACAGAAUUGGCUUGAUCCAUAGAAACCAAAUGAACGCCCUGCAAUCAAAAUUUACUAUGGCUGUUCUUAUACAACAAAUAAGUGAAAAUGGGAGGAGAUGUUGGAAACCACUGAACUGCUGAAUUCUGCUGAUGCAGAGUUCUGAAAGGUCGCCUUUACAGACAAGAUAAGGGCAUUUUUCCUAAACCAUGCUCUUCACUAAGCAGCCACUAUGCCCUAGAGGCAGGCACCAGUGUUAAUAGUUUCCUUUGUUAUUCACUAUGAGGUAGCUUUGUCAUUGCCUGUGCUUGAUUUUGUUAAUUCACCUACAUACUUUCCUUAAUAAAAGGCGUGUAGGCUAAA
Molecule: long non-coding RNA, 2882 nt
Filed under: Sus scrofa (pig)
Lineage: Eukaryota; Metazoa; Chordata; Mammalia; Artiodactyla; Suidae
Description: lncRNA (ENSSSCG00060010676.1)
Source: RNAcentral